Molecule: unclassified non-coding RNA, 298 nt
Filed under: rhizosphere metagenome
Description: partial ribosomal RNA internal transcribed spacer region
Source: RNAcentral
GUAGGUGAACCUGCGGAAGGAUCAUUACAGAAUUAAACUUGGUGGACUGUUGCUGGCUCCUCCGGGGGCACUGUGCACGUCUGUCAUUUUUACUUUUCCACCUGUGCACCUUUUGUAGAUUCCGUUAACAGGUUUCUGAAUUUCCGUGGGGGCGGUCUUGCUUCUGCGGUUUUUUCAGAGCUUGGGAGUCUACGUUUUUUUAUACAAACCCAAAUGUAUGUUUUAGAACGUGUAUACAAGGCCUUAAAACAGCCUAUAAUAAUCUAUACAACUUUCAGCAACGGAUCUCUUGGCUCUC